RNAcentral lists this non-coding RNA (24 nucleotides) under Rattus norvegicus (Norway rat). Lineage: Eukaryota; Metazoa; Chordata; Mammalia; Rodentia; Muridae. The record is from RNAcentral.
UCACUGAGUGUAUGACCAGCAGCC